UACAGAGGUCCCGAGCGUUGUUCGGAUUUACUGGGCGUAAAGGGCGCGUAGGCGGCCUCCGCAAGUCAGUUGUGAAAUCUCCGAGCUUAACUCGGAAAGGUCAACUGAUACUGCGGGGCUAGAGUGCGGAAGGGGCAACUGGAAUUCUUGGUGUAGCGGUGAAAUGCGUAGAUAUCAAGAGGAACACCUGCGGCGAAGGCGGGUUGCUGGGCCGACACUGACGCUGAGGCGCGAAAGCUAGGGGAGCGAACGGG
Molecule: ribosomal RNA, 254 nt
Filed under: uncultured bacterium
Lineage: Bacteria
Description: partial 16S ribosomal RNA
Rfam family: Bacterial small subunit ribosomal RNA
Source: RNAcentral